CAGUGAACCCAGUGGUCAUAAUCCCCUGGACGGUUCAGGAAACUGGAAAAUAAUCUUCCCAGGACAACAGCUAAUCAGAAGUAAAACUGGGAUGUAAACCUAAGUAUGCCUGAGUCCAAGGAGGGAGACUCCAACAGAGGUUUGCUGACAGGGACACAAAAGCAAGUGAUGCCUUGGAACCAGAUCAAAGAGGGCUCCGAGUGCAUGCUGCACAGAGCAGGCA
Molecule: long non-coding RNA, 223 nt
Organism: Symphalangus syndactylus (siamang)
Lineage: Eukaryota; Metazoa; Chordata; Mammalia; Primates; Hylobatidae
Source: RefSeq, a predicted model, not a curated record